GCCCUCGUGGCUUAGUGGUGAGCACACUAGGCCGGCAAACCUGAAGUGGAGGUUCGUGUCCUGCCUAGGGUG
Non-coding RNA from Cooperia oncophora, 72 nucleotides. Lineage: Eukaryota; Metazoa; Nematoda; Chromadorea; Rhabditida; Trichostrongylidae. The record is from the annotation of a GenBank genome assembly.